Molecule: ribosomal RNA, 254 nt
Filed under: uncultured bacterium
Lineage: Bacteria
Description: partial 16S ribosomal RNA
Rfam family: Bacterial small subunit ribosomal RNA
Source: RNAcentral
UACGUAGGGCGCAAGCGUUGUCCGGAUUUAUUGGGCGUAAAGAGCUCGUAGGCGGUUCGGUAAGUCAGGUGUGAAAUCUCCACGCUCAACGUGGAGGCGCCACCUGAAACUGCCGUGACUCGAGUCCGGAAGAGGAGAGUGGAAUUCCUGGUGUAGCGGUGAAAUGCGCAGAUAUCAGGAAGAACACCCGUGGCGAAGGCGGCUCUCUGGGACGGUACUGACGCUGAGACGCGAAAGCGUGGGGAGCGAACAGG